UUUUAUGAGAGUUUGAUCCUGGCUCAGGACGAACGCUGGCGGCGUGCCUAAUACAUGCAAGUCGUACGCUUCUUUUUCCACCGGAGCUUGCUCCACCGGAAAAAGAGGAGUGGCGAACGGGUGAGUAACACGUGGGUAACCUGCCCAUCAGAAGGGGAUAACACUUGGAAACAGGUGCUAAUACCGUAUAACAAUCGAAA
This 200-nucleotide ribosomal RNA is filed under the name Enterococcus faecium. RNAcentral's name for it is "partial 16S ribosomal RNA". It matches the Rfam family "Bacterial small subunit ribosomal RNA", at positions 1 to 185 of the family's 1533-position model. Lineage: Bacteria; Bacillati; Bacillota; Bacilli; Lactobacillales; Enterococcaceae. The record is from RNAcentral.